UACGUAGGUGGCAAGCGUUGUCCGGAUUUAUUGGGUUUAAAGGGUGCGUAGGCGGCCUUGUAAGUCAGUGGUGAAAUACUCCAGCUUAACUGGAGGGGUGCCAAUGAUACUGCAGGGCUUGAGUACAGAUGAGGUAGGCGGAAUUGACGGUGUAGCGGUGAAAUGCAUAGAUAUCGUCAAGAACACCGAUAGCGAAGGCAGCUUACUGGGCUGUAACUGACGCUGAGGCACGAAAAGUGUGGGGAUCAAACAGG
RNAcentral lists this ribosomal RNA (254 nucleotides) under uncultured bacterium. RNAcentral's name for it is "partial 16S ribosomal RNA". It matches the Rfam family "Bacterial small subunit ribosomal RNA", at positions 524 to 776 of the family's 1533-position model. The record is from RNAcentral.